Molecule: ribosomal RNA, 253 nt
Filed under: uncultured bacterium
Lineage: Bacteria
Description: partial 16S ribosomal RNA
Rfam family: Bacterial small subunit ribosomal RNA
Source: RNAcentral
GACGUAGGAUGCAAGCGUUGUUCGGAUUUAUUGGGCGUAAAGCGUACGUAGGCGGUUAUCUAAGUCUGGUGUUAAAGCUAGAGGCUCAACCUCUGUGUUGCACUGGAAACUGGGUGACUUGAGAACGGUAGGGGAAGGUGGAAUUCCGAGUGUAGCGGUGAAAUGCGUAGAUAUAGGAAGGAACACCAGUGGCGAAGGCGACCACCUGGACUGAUACUGACACUGAGGUGCGAAAGCGUGGGGAGCAAACAGG